This 69-nucleotide transfer RNA is filed under the name Rattus norvegicus (Norway rat). It matches the Rfam family "tRNA". From Rfam's summary of the family: Transfer RNA (tRNA) molecules are approximately 80 nucleotides in length. Lineage: Eukaryota; Metazoa; Chordata; Mammalia; Rodentia; Muridae. The record is from Rfam by way of RNAcentral.
GGGGGUUUAGCUCAGUGGUAGAGCGCUUGCCUAGCAAGCACAAGACCCUGGGUUCGGUCCCCAGCUCCG